Molecule: non-coding RNA, 1053 nt
Organism: Paramuricea clavata
Lineage: Eukaryota; Metazoa; Cnidaria; Anthozoa; Malacalcyonacea; Plexauridae
Source: the annotation of a GenBank genome assembly
AACAAGUUGUGUUCGCACUGCUUGUCCCAAGUUGUCAACAAGUUUGGAACAAGCUGUUAACAACUUGUAACAACCUUGUUGAUAUUAUCAGACUUGUUGCAAGGUUGUUCCAAUGAGUCCGAUACAGUCAUGAUGUAACAAUAUUGUUACAACCUUGUGUUGUCAACCUUGUAACAUUCUUGUUAUAGCAUGACCCUAUCGGACUUGUUAGAACAACCUUGUACCAAGUCUGAUAAUGCCAUCAAGCUUGUGCCAAGUUAUUAAAAGCUUGUUCCGAACUUGUUGCAACAACUAUUUGUCGACGACAACUUGUUUGCAGACCUGUAACAACUUGUGCGUUUUCAUGUGUGUUUAUUAACAAAUAUAAAACAUUUUCCGUGUUGAUAUAUAGUUAUAUCAACACGAGUGGAAUUGGGAAAACGAGAAAUUGUAUGGAAACACGACGCCCGAAGGGCGGAGUGUUUUCAUACAAUUUCUCGUUUUCCCAACUUCCACGAGUGUUGAUAUAACUAUAUAUCAAUACGGAAAAAUGUUUUAUAUUUUUUUUAUAAUAUAGCAAUGUCAAAAGCCCGAAGGAUAAGAAGAAUUUCCGUGUUUACAAGCGGCGGAAAAUUUCCCGUGUUGACAUCGAGUUAUAUCAACACGGCUCUUAGCCAAUCAGCGUUCAGAAUUUACAAUCAGCGUUCAGAAUUUACAAGUUAUUAACACUGGCUUUUCUUUUCUUAGAUUUGGCCUCAGUACUGUCAUCUUGAAUACAGAAGGCAAAAACUUUGAUGUUUUUGGCCUGGCGAGGCUGUCAUUUCAUAGAAUUGUAUUUUCUUGCACAGACGUUGUUUGUAAAAGCCGCGCUACACACAAUAAAUGACGAGAGAUUGGUCGUCUGAGAGUUGAGACGCGUCUUUAACUUUAGAAAAAAAGAUAUAUUUUUGUAUAUCUAAAUUUAGUAGCAUUAUAGGGUUCACCGCAUAUAGUGCUAUUUUGCAUUAGAAUUUAGUUUUUGUCGAUGAAAAAUGAGAUUAUUAAAUAUACCCAUCAUAUCGUUUAUGGUAAGAG